UCCAAGGCUGCAGAUUUCAGUGAGAAGC
Molecule: non-coding RNA, 28 nt
Filed under: Rattus norvegicus (Norway rat)
Lineage: Eukaryota; Metazoa; Chordata; Mammalia; Rodentia; Muridae
Source: RNAcentral